CUUUGAAGAGCAUUUUUCAUCCGUUUGCGUUGCUUUUCAUUACGUGAAGCUCGUCGUAUUUAUUUUACUAUCGUUUUAAAUCUACUGAUUUGACGGAUUUUCACGUUUUUCCACUUUCAUCGUUUCGCAUUCACAUUGAGAAUCACAACGCACAUCCUAUCGCUUGCUCUCGUUCGGCAUCAUUUUCCACACGCAUGAGGAUCGGAGACGUAAAACGUUGCGGUAAAUUAUGUUAUUUUGAUUUUCAUUCAAAGCCACCAAAAUUAAUGAAAAAAAAAAUGAUGUGAGCGCAUGGCGAACAACUGAAAGUGCUGAAUGGAGACGAAACAAGAAAAACAACAACAAAUGAAAACGGUGAAGAUUUACGAUGGGUUAUUUUUAUGUGAUCAAAUGAAGGAGGAAAGUGGAAAAUGAACGGAGAAAAUCUCAAAAAUUAAAAAAAUGUGAUUUCCUGAGCUGCAGUGAGUGUAAGAGAGAUAUGGAGAAGGAGAAAGAGAGAGUGUGGAAUGAUUCAGAGAUUGUGUUGAAUGGAAUAUUUCGUUAGGAAUGGAUUAACGAGACAGAUUCAUCCUUUUUUUUUUCAAUUUUAGAUCACUCUCUGAAAUAAUAAACCGUGUCAAGUCGUGUGUGCGUUGACGGAUUGCUGCGUUGAAUUUGUCAGAAUUAAAAAAGGCUGUAACAUGGAGAAACAGACAUGCACCAGUUCAGCACAAGCGAACGAGUUAUUAUCACUGCAAUUUGACAGCGCCUGUCGAGUAAACUGUAAAUUGAUAUUCUGACGCUGAUGAUGAGUAAGUGAGGGUGUGACGGAGGCCAACUCACAAUUCACAGCAUUGACAUUGUUGUUGAUGUGUCUAAAACAGUAAUUGGUCGCGCGUUGGCAAUGAUACACACACAAACACGCGAUGCGCGCACAGACAAAAGCAAUCAUUUUUAAACGCUAUCUCGGUGUUGUUUUUCCUCUUCCAUCAUCUUCUCUCUACGCAGCGAGCAGUGAGCAGCAAGAGGCGAACCGAAAAAAAAAACAAGGAACGGAAGACGAAUGACAUUUGUACGCCUGUUGCACACACUGUGCAAAUGAAUUGUGAUGUGGUAUGGCGAUAGGACCUUCACAAGCGGUCGAAUAGUUGUUGAAACGGUAAUCACUAUCGUCCAUUGUAAAUGCGCGUUAUUUAUGCAUCACUUGCUCGGUCGUUCAUAGUGGUUCGAGAUUGUGUGCGUUGCCACUGUCGUGUCGUCGUCGUCGUCGUUGUUGUCGUCAAUUGAUAUUAAAACACAUGUAAUACAAAGUGCGACAACGAGCGCCUUUGACACAAAAGAAAAACAUUUAGCAAAGCCGUUGGUAAGUGCCAGUGAUUUAUAGUCUAAUUAACACCAUUCACUUUCAGUGCACGUUGUGCCCAUGCUUCAAACUUCAUGCUGCUAUCUCAAAAACCAAGUGCGAUUUUUUAUUUUUGCGCAAAAACCAACAAAAAAAAUAUGUUAUUAAAGGAAAACGAGACAUGAUUAAAUGCAUAAAAUGCGCGAGACAGGUGGCGACAAACAUGACAAAUGACAUUAAUAUAUACACGUCCGUUGGUGCUGCCGCUGCGCGUUAUUGCCACAAUGAAUGCUAUGGCUUCAUUUUUAAGCUUCUAUUUCGCUUCAAAAAUGUGACAAAUAGAAAAAUUAACUAGUCACUACGUGCUAAUUGAAUGAUGGCUAUUGUUUGUUCCGAUGUAAAUUGAGUUUGGCUUGGUGUGGCGUUUAUUUCGCUGCCGUGUUAAAAUCAACAAACUGAAUUCAUUGCGUACACACAGAAGAAAACAAACAAACAAAUACGCUUCGUUCAAAAUGUGUGUGCAUAUAUACUCGGCUCUUGAGGUGCAAUGUGUUAAUUAUGUGGAAUACGUCAACUAAAAUUCCAAUGUGUACACCGAGCACAUCAAUCUCUCAUACGUGCCAUGGUUAAAUUAGUCGACAACCACUUUGUUGCCUUUAUUGGAAAAUAAUGAGAUAAAAAUAUUAGUUUUAAAGCAAUCAUUAGUCAUCGAACUUUCUAUUCCGUACAGUGACCGCUUUGGCUAUUGUUUACUUAACGCUCAAGGGGAAUGUCUCUAUUUAACUCAUUCUUUAUAUUGAUUUUUAGCACUCGAGCGAUGCUUCUUACUGCGAAUUGUUAUUGUGAAUGUCGUUUUAGAGACUCUCUUUCUGAGUUCCGAAGAAGAAUGGCAUUUUCAGCGAUUUGUUGUAUUUCCAGGAGUUCAAUCGUCCACAAUUAAUUAAUAAUUAUUACAGUGAAUCGGUUGUAAUCAGAAAUGGUAUAAUUCCCAUCGAAAAAGAAUCAAUUACGUGUAGGAAAUACUCACAGGUUCUCAUUAUAUUAUAUUAUUGUUAAGAAUCAUCAUAGGUAAUGAUAAGAAAACAACCAAAGCUCCGAUUUUUUCAACCAAAUUGACAUCGAAUCCGUUUACUUCGUUUCUAAUCAACCCAAAAUCAAUUUCGUUAUGAAGAAACCGAAGAAUAAAAAAAAAAUAUCUGGCUAUAAAAGAGUUCGGUUCGCACACAUUCCAUUCAUUCAAGUGAAAAGCAUUAUUGAUGCGAGUGUCGGUGGUUUUCUUAAUUUUUGGUGCCUUAUUAGUUAUCAAAGGCAAUGCUUCUGACUAUAGCGACGAGGCGCAAAAUAUAGUUGAUCAAUGGCAAAAUCUCAAUAAUAUUCCCCAUAUUAUGACUUUUUGUGGGGUUUCUGACAAGCAAUGGCAGCUAAUUUUAUGGUAUUUUUGGCGCGUUGGAAGUUAUCUCAAUGUGGGUGAAAUAAGUCGCGAAAUGGAUUUUCAUAAACAUACACGGUAUAUGGAUCAUUUUCUGGGAGAUGUCUACCGUUAAACUGGACUGAAGUAUUACACUCAUCGUAUUCAAUACAGCAUUCAAGACGAACAAGUAGACAAAGAGGAUAUUUUCAACGACAAUGCAUAUCAAUGGCAUCCGGAACUAUCAAAGUAUGGAAAUUUCAGCUAUUACCUGGAAGAGGAUAAGCUGAAUAUUCGAACCCAAGAAAAAUUGGAAUUGCAAAGAUGAACCAGCCAGUGGAAGCGUGAUUUUGGCCUCCGAUAUCGAAAUUAUCGAUCACUAUUUGAGCGGCAACCAAACGAAGCAUCUAUUUCAGUCGAAACGAGCUCACAGCGUGCGAACUGAGACGAAGCACCACUUCGUAAGAAGUCGCGCGCUAUGCACAUAUGGUGUAACUGGUAAACCAUAUACUUGAGUCACAGUAUGCUUUGAUGCAUAUAUUCGCAACAACGAAUGUUUGACCGAAGUCGCAACUGGUCAAAUGUACUGUGUACUAGCCGAUUAACUGGUGACGUGCAUCGCUGAGCAUUACAUUAAGACAUAUUUUUCGUUACAUAGCAAGUGAUGUUCGGAAGGAAUGCGGCUUUACCGUUUCGAACGAUUGAAAGAUUGCUAAUUGGAUCGUGUCUUUUGGCCAAUAUCAUCAUCGGAGGAUCAUUUGAGAGCUCACUCUCCACAGCUUAUACUAAAAAAUACAAACAAAAAUAUUGAUACUCUCAAAGAACUGGACGACUCUGGACUCGUAAUCACAGUUGCAUCACCAACAUUGCGCCACAUAUUCGGAAAUAGUCAAACUCGCUCCAAAGUUCUGCGUUCGCUUAACGAUAAACUUUUUCAUGAAUUUUUGGCAUUCACUUCAGUCGAACGCGUGGUCGAAAUUAGGGAUGUAUGCAGCAUUGAACGUUAUUCGGAUCUUUGAAUUAUGAUUAAGACAAAAUACUUGAAUGAUGAUGGCAGUGCGAAAAUUCAUGUUAUCAAAGAAUGCCUGCGGCAUUAUUUUCUAACCUACUGAAGGAGGUAAACCGUUAUUGAGCUUGAAAAAAUGAAAACAAAUCGAAUGUUUGUGAUGAAUCGACAAGUUCCCAUAACAAGCUGGUUUCGAAUUCAGGUUUUGCUAUUUUAUGGAUAUUCAAGCACCAUUUUACAUCUUGAUUAUUGGAUACAUCCUUUCAUUAAUUGUCUUUUGAGUCGAAAAAUUUGUUUUACACCCAGACAAAUUCAAGAAACUGCAAGGAAUUAUAUGGCCUGUGGACAGUGUUCUAAGCGAUUUUGAGUCGAGUCGUCGCAAAAAGUUUAAGAAAAUAAGUGGCAAUCAGAAGCGUCUAAACUUUUAGAAGAAUUGGUUUAUUCAUUUCUUCUAUUAAUCAUAUAUCAUGUGUGAUAUUUCUA
Long non-coding RNA from Sitodiplosis mosellana (orange wheat blossom midge), 4218 nucleotides. RefSeq lists it as uncharacterized. NCBI's taxonomy places the organism in Eukaryota, Metazoa, Arthropoda, Insecta, Diptera, Cecidomyiidae. The transcript is spliced from 7 exons. The record is from RefSeq and is a predicted model, not a curated record.